Molecule: ribosomal RNA, 597 nt
Filed under: uncultured bacterium
Lineage: Bacteria
Description: bacterial SSU rRNA
Rfam family: Bacterial small subunit ribosomal RNA
Source: RNAcentral
UGCAAGUCGAGCGCGCCCUUCGGGGUGAGCGGCGGACGGGUGAGUAACGCGUGGGAAUAUGCCCUUCUCUAAGGAAUAGCCUCUGGAAACGGAGAGUAAUACCUUAUACGCCCUUUGGGGGAAAGAUUUAUCGGAGAAGGAUUAGCCCGCGUUAGAUUAGGUAGUUGGUGGGGUAAUGGCCUACCAAGCCUACGAUCUAUAGCUGGUUUGAGAGGAUGAUCAGCCACACUGGGACUGAGACACGGCCCAGACUCCUACGGGAGGCAGCAGUAGGGAAUCUUAGACAAUGGGGGCAACCCUGAUCUAGCCAUGCCGCGUGUGUGAUGAAGGCCCUAGGGUCGUAAAGCACUUUCGCCAGAGAUGAUAAUGACAGUAUCUGGUAAAGAAACCCCGGCUAACUCCGUGCCAGCAGCCGCGGUAAUACGGAGGGGGUUAGCGUUGUUCGGAAUUACUGGGCGUAAAGCGCACGUAGGCGGAUUAGUAAGUUAGAGGUGAAAUCCCAGGGCUCAACCCUGGAACUGCCUUUAAUACUGCUAGUCUUGAGUUCGAGAGAGGUAAGUGGAAUUCCGAGUGUAGAGGUGAAAUUCGUAGAUAUUC